UUACGACUUACGCAAGAAGGAGUGGUGUAAUAAAGUAUUUUUUAAAGUGAUUUGAGGCGGUAGGUCGAAGUGGUCCACCGCCCAUCUCAGUUGGUUAAAAAUGUUUGAGCACGGAGCAACUACCGUGGGCCACUGACCCAUCGAUCCAGGAAUUUAUACACACCCACGAGUCGAAGGGUGGGGUGAGGUACGCAGAGCACAUCCUUCGACAUAAAUUUCCACAGAAAAAGAUUCCCACUUGAGGUAAUACCCAUUACCAGAAGAAUUCAAUAUCGUCGAAUCGCCAAAUGUACUUUUCUUGAAGAAUACAUCUGUAACAUCUGUAACGUCUGCAACGUCUGUAACAUCUGUAACAUCUGUGGCAUCUGUAACAUCUGUAAGAUUUGUAACAUCUGUACCAUAUCCAUCCAGGUGUAUUUAAAUGCUAAGAAUAUCCCAUUCCACGAACGAGGAAAUUUAGCUUGCGUGGACUUUAUAAAGGCUCGAUUGGGUAAACUGGGAGAAACUGUUAAAAAUACUAAAGAGGAAAGGUGAGAACUGGAGAGAGACGACUAAUACAAAACAUAUAUCAAACAAAAGGCAAAAAUCAAGACGGAUUGGUUUGGUAUCGGAAUAGGAGUUAGAGAGGAAUGCUACUUACCAACUUUGUUUAAUUUAUAUGGCAUGGCAUGAUUGCGUAUGCUGAAAGUAAAAAGAGUUUAAGAUAUUGUUAGUAAGGAUAGACCAAAUCAGAAAAACAGAGUGUGGCCUAAGAAUUAAUAAAAACAAAGAGAACCAAUGAGAAAACAACU
Photinus pyralis (common eastern firefly) is the source of this 791-nucleotide long non-coding RNA. RefSeq lists it as uncharacterized. The transcript has 3 exons. The record is from RefSeq and is a predicted model, not a curated record. NCBI's taxonomy places the organism in Eukaryota, Metazoa, Arthropoda, Insecta, Coleoptera, Lampyridae.